RNAcentral lists this ribosomal RNA (681 nucleotides) under uncultured bacterium. RNAcentral's name for it is "bacterial SSU rRNA". It matches the Rfam family "Bacterial small subunit ribosomal RNA", at positions 97 to 774 of the family's 1533-position model. The record is from RNAcentral.
GGCGGACGGGUGAGUAAUACGUGGGAAUCUGCCUAUAGGUGGGGGAUAGCCCGGAGAAAUCCGGAUUAAUACCGCAUAAUACCUGAGGGUUAAAACGGAGGAUCGCAAGACUUCGUGCCUAUAGAUGAGCCCACGUCAGAUUAGCUAGUUGGUAGGGUAAAGGCCUACCAAGGCGACGAUCUGUAGCUGGCCUGAGAGGGUGGCCAGCCACACUGGAACUGAGACACGGUCCAGACUCCUACGGGAGGCAGCAGUGGGGAAUAUUGGACAAUGGGCGCAAGCCUGAUCCAGCCAUGCCGCGUGUGUGAAGAAGGCCUUCGGGUUGUAAAGCACUUUAAGUUGGGAGGAAGGUUGCUUGGCUAAUAUCCAAGUGAAUUGACGUUACCAACAGAAUAAGCACCGGCUAAUUCCGUGCCAGCAGCCGCGGUAAUACGGAAGGUGCGAGCGUUAAUCGGAAUUACUGGGCGUAAAGCGCACGUAGGCGGUUACUUAAGUCGGAUGUGAAAGCCCUGGGCUUAACCUGGGAAUUGCAUCCGAUACUGGGUGACUAGAGUACGGUAGAGGGGGGUGGAAUUCCAGGUGUAGCGGUGAAAUGCGUAGAGAUCUGGAGGAACACCGGUGGCGAAGGCGGCCCCCUGGACUGAUACUGACGCUGAGGUGCGAAAGCGUGGGGAGCAAACA